GAUUAGGUUUGGUGUUACAGUUAUGGAUUGGAAAUCCAGCACUUCCAAUGAUCAGCUUAUUCUGGAUACUGCCAUGACUUCAAAGAUUAAAAGACAAUCAUAAGACACUAAGUUAUGGAGGAGUGACAUCUGGCUUCUCGACAGACACCUCAGGCAACAGUAGUAAUAGCUUUGGAGAUGGCUGUGUAUCUGUAAUAGAGUUAAGUUUGUUGUCUGGAUUGUA
RNAcentral lists this long non-coding RNA (223 nucleotides) under Zonotrichia albicollis (white-throated sparrow). RNAcentral's name for it is "lncRNA (ENSZALG00000004822.1)". The record is from RNAcentral. Lineage: Eukaryota; Metazoa; Chordata; Aves; Passeriformes; Passerellidae.